RNAcentral lists this ribosomal RNA (497 nucleotides) under uncultured bacterium. Its description in RNAcentral is "partial 16S ribosomal RNA". It matches the Rfam family "Bacterial small subunit ribosomal RNA", at positions 28 to 507 of the family's 1533-position model. The record is from RNAcentral.
GAUGAACGCUGGCGGCGUGCCUAAUACAUGCAAGUCGAGCGAACAGAUGAGGAGCUUGCUCCUCUGACGUUAGCGGCGGACGGGUGAGUAACACGUGGAUAACCUACCUAUAAGACUGGGAUAACUUCGGGAAACCGGAGCUAAUACCGGAUAAUAUAUUGAACCGCAUGGUUCAAUAGUGAAAGACGGUUUUGCUGUCACUUAUAGAUGGAUCCGCGCCGCAUUAGCUAGUUGGUAAGGUAACGGCUUACCAAGGCAACGAUGCGUAGCCGACCUGAGAGGGUGAUCGGCCACACUGGAACUGAGACGCGGUCCAGACUCCUACGGGAGGCAGCAGUAGGGAAUCUACCGCAAUGGGCGAAAGCCUGACGGAGCAACGCCGCGUGAGUGAUGAAGGUCUUCGGAUCGUAAAACUCUGUUAUUAGGGAAGAACAAAUGUGUAAGUAACUAUGCACGUCUUGACGGUACCUAAUCAGAAAGCCACGGCUAACUACGUG